UUCAUAUGCACCCGCUAACAGAAAGCCUUUCAUGAAAGCACAAGCAUCCAGUUCUGUGGGACAGAGGAGGAAGAGGAGCAGCAGAGAAUAUUAAAGGAGGAAGAAUCGAUUUUUUCAUUUCCUGCUGCUGACGGAGGCAGAGCUUCUCCUGAUAUUCAUCCUCACAGGGCAGCGAUGUUUGGUCUGGAGAAUCGGGAAAUAGUGAAGGAGGAAACUGGGCAGGUUUUUCUUGGCCCAGAGUCUAACUUCAGCAAUCUGCCAAGAGAUUCUGCAGGAGGAACUGAAACCCUCACAGGAUGAGAACCACAGAAGAAGAUGAACUUUUUACAUGACUGUAACGUUUAGGCUGCCUCCUGCAGUAUCACACUUCCUGUUAUCUUCUUUUACUUCCCAGUUUACUUCCUCUUAGCUUCCAGUUUUGUUUCCUGUUAGUGCAGCAGUGUGAUGUUAUUACACUGGAUUGUAAAGUCAGAAGCUAUUCUGGUAGGAAAUUAUGUGAGCACUGGCGGCUUUUAUUUUGAAAAGACGGCUUCAUUGCAAAACAGCGGGUAACUUCCUGUUUCAAACUUAUUAUUUUUAUUCAAAUUUAAUGUGUUACGAAUAAAAAUGUGAAUUAUUAUCUUUACUGUUGAGCAUAUUGAGUUCAGUUCGGGUUUAAAAAGACAAAUUAAUGAAUCAUAACUUUACAGUCUGAAGGGUUUUCCCUCUUCGUUGCUCCUUCUAUUCGGAUUCCAGGGGAGAAGGAAACUGUUGAGGCUUUGAAGGAAACGGGUCUUCAGGGGAACAAGAUGCUUCAGACAUUUCAUCAGGAAACAUUCAGGAGUUUCUUCAUGUUGUUCUUCCAACACGACUUGUUUUGUCUUCUUCUCUUUAAGAUGUGGAUACAACACUGCCCCCUACAUCAGAAGAUGAUAAAUAAAUUAAAAAGUGGAAUAUGAAAGAUGGAGCAG
Molecule: long non-coding RNA, 950 nt
Organism: Gambusia affinis (western mosquitofish)
Lineage: Eukaryota; Metazoa; Chordata; Actinopteri; Cyprinodontiformes; Poeciliidae
Exons: 3
Source: RefSeq, a predicted model, not a curated record